This 627-nucleotide ribosomal RNA is filed under the name Salmonella enterica. RNAcentral's name for it is "partial 23S ribosomal RNA". It matches the Rfam family "Bacterial large subunit ribosomal RNA", at positions 668 to 1289 of the family's 2925-position model. Lineage: Bacteria; Pseudomonadati; Pseudomonadota; Gammaproteobacteria; Enterobacterales; Enterobacteriaceae. The record is from RNAcentral.
GAAGGGAAACCGAGUCUUAACCGGGCGUUAAGUUGCAGGGUAUAGACCCGAAACCCGGUGAUCUAGCCAUGGGCAGGUUGAAGGUUGGGUAACACUAACUGGAGGACCGAACCGACUAAUGUUGAAAAAUUAGCGGAUGACCUGUGGCUGGGGGUGAAAGGCCAAUCAAACCGGGAGAUAGCUGGUUCUCCCCGAAAGCUAUUUAGGUAGCGCCUCGUGAAUUCAUCUCCGGGGGUAGAGCACUGUUUCGGCUAGGGGGCCAUCCCGGCUUACCAACCCGAUGCAAACUGCGAAUACCGGAGAAUGUUAUCACGGGAGACACACGGCGGGUGCUAACGUCCGUCGUGAAGAGGGAAACAACCCAGACCGCCAGCUAAGGUCCCAAAGUCAUGGUUAAGUGGGAAACGAUGUGGGAAGGCCCAGACAGCCAGGAUGUUGGCUUAGAAGCAGCCAUCAUUUAAAGAAAGCGUAAUAGCUCACUGGUCGAGUCGGCCUGCGCGGAAGAUGUAACGGGGCUAAACCAUGCACCGAAGCUGCGGCAGCGAACGUAUCACUUAAAGCGAUUCAGCGGGUUACGAUUGACGGAGCGAAGCGACGUCAAAGCGUAUACAAAGUCGAGUCGGUUUA